RNAcentral lists this ribosomal RNA (467 nucleotides) under uncultured bacterium. RNAcentral describes it as "partial 16S ribosomal RNA". It matches the Rfam family "Bacterial small subunit ribosomal RNA", at positions 28 to 507 of the family's 1533-position model. The record is from RNAcentral.
GACGAACGCUGGCGGCGUGCUUAACACAUGCAAGUCGAACGGAAAGGCCCUGCUUUUGUGGGGUGCUCGAGUGGCGAACGGGUGAGUAACACGUGAGUAACCUGCCCUUGACUUUGGGAUAACUUCAGGAAACUGGGGCUAAUACCGGAUAGGAGCUCCUGCUGCAUGGUGGGGGUUGGAAAGUUUCGGCGGUUGGGGAUGGACUCGCGGCUUAUCAGCUUGUUGGUGGGGUAGUGGCUUACCAAGGCUUUGACGGGUAGCCGGCCUGAGAGGGUGACCGGCCACAUGGGGACUGGGUAACGGCCCAGACUCCAACGGAGGCAGCAGUGGGGAAUAUUGCACAAUGGGCGGAAGCCUGAUGCAGCAACGCCGCGUGCGGGAUGACGGCCUUCGGGUUGUAAACCGCUUUCGCCUGUGACGAAGCGUGAGUGACGGUAAUGGGUAAAGAAGCACCGGCUAACUACGUG